CAGUCGCCGCGGGAAUACGAAGGGGGCUAGCGUUGUUCGGAUUUACUGGGCGUAAAGGGCGCGUAGGCGGACUGAUAAGUCAGGGGUGAAAUCCCAAGGCUCAACCUUGGAACUGCCUUUGAUACUGUUUGUCUUGAGUUCGAGAGAGGUAAGUGGAACUGCGAGUGUAGAGGUGAAAUUCGUAGAUAUUCGCAAGAACACCAGUGGCGGAGGCGGCUUACUGGCUCGAAACUGACGCUGAGGCGCGAAAGCGUGGGGAGCAAACAGGAUUAGAUACCCCUGUAGUCCCUGUCUCUUAUAC
Molecule: ribosomal RNA, 301 nt
Filed under: uncultured bacterium
Lineage: Bacteria
Description: partial 16S ribosomal RNA
Rfam family: Bacterial small subunit ribosomal RNA
Source: RNAcentral